UAGACCGACGCCAAGAGGCCCAACGAGCAGUGCGGACACGAGAAGACAAUCACAGGAAUCCUUCCGGGAAUGACCGGGGCAUCCAACAUCUACGGAUCCG
Molecule: regulatory RNA element, 100 nt
Organism: Thermoplasmatales archaeon BRNA1
Lineage: Archaea; Methanobacteriati; Thermoplasmatota; Thermoplasmata; Thermoplasmatales
Rfam family: Pyrrolysine insertion sequence mttB
Source: Rfam